CCGACUUUAAAGGUAUGUUCCCAAUAUUACACCUCAGUGUGCUUGUAUUAAUUCAUUAGUAGGAUUUUUGACUGUAAGAUGUGAAACCACAUUUCUUGCAUGAUGUUUUAGAACUUAUGUAUUUCAUUUACAGUCUCUUAACAUGCGACAGCAGCACUUAGCGCAAGUUUUCACAAAUUUAAGAAUCAGUACACUAAAAUCCAUCCUUCUCAUGACUAAGGAAAGAAGGCUCUAGGAGGCUGAAAGGCAGGGAUUUAUUUCUGAUUUUCACUGCUAGCUGUUUCAGGAUUCCUCCUUGGGUAACUGGGGACUCGUGGUGCGAAACUGAAGCUGAGGAAGGGAGAGGGAGCAGCUGCCCCUUUGUGUGCUGAGCUGAGGGACAGUGGCAGUGACAGACAGCAGGGAGUGGCAGCACUGCUGGGAGCGGGGUGAAGCCAAGGGUGACCUCUCUGUACCUGUCCAGUGUCCUGGUGUGACUUCCAAAGCACAGCUCUGUGGAGAAGCACGUCCUGGUAGGAGUUCACAUACCUUAGUACAAGUCACAACGAGCUGCGUCUCCAGCCAAGAGCAAAACUUCUGCCCAGAGGACGCAGAUAUUUUCUUAGGUUCUUUAAUUGUUUUUAUUUUUUUUUUUUCUUCGUUGUUGUUUGGUUCAAGUUGGGUUUUUUAAUUAAUUCUAGGCAAUACACUUGCCAGUCUGUUCCUACUGUCCUUGUCUGCUGAUUUGAGACCCAGGUGCUGAAUGCAGUCAAGUGGUUACUCUCAGCUUUCUCCAUAGUGAGGGGGUUUUUUUUCUGUUUGAUGAUUUUAUUUUGUUUUUUAAGUUAAUAUUCCCCAAACUGUUCUUGUGCCUGUGUCUAUCUGAUUGCAUUCCAUGAUGCUUACUGAGAGCUCUGGCUGCAUUGUACGACAGCAGAACUGUAUUCACAGGUCGCACACAAAUGCAGCACUUAAGGUCAAUCUCUCUUCUUAAUAAGCAAUACGUAAGUGCCUUGAAACAUAUCUUCUUUUUUUUUUUUUUUUUUCCUUUUUCCUGUUUAUUUUUGGUUCGCUUUUCAGGUUUCCACUAGUUCUUUAGGAUUCUUUAGCAUCUGCCCGGUUUUUAAUGCUGUAAUGAUUUUUAAAAAGCAUAUCUGUAGCUUGCCCUAGAGGAAAUCUUUCUUUCAUAACACUAACUGUUAAUUCUAAGCUCCAUUAUUCCAUUUGAGUCAUGUAAUUUUGCUGGCUAAAGACAGCUUUCAGAAGUCAGAAGUCACUCCAUCCUGCCAAGCGUUAUCAUUGGGAUCUAUUAUAAAAUUAAUCAAAUAAAAUGCUGUCAGUAUUUCCUAUAUUUUUGGCACUUUAUUAAUGGCUUAGCUCCUUUUGCUGUUUCAUAUUUAAUGAUCUGUGUUGAAUGUGGAUUAGCCUGCUGAGAUGCUGUUGGGGUGAUCUCCUGCCCAGGGUCCCUUUGGGUUCCUUGGUGACCCCCUGGGCCGAGGAGCACCCUCAGACCUGGAGCUCAGAGAUGCUCCUGGGCUUUGUCCCAGUGUUUAGCCAAGGUCACAGCUGCUUUUCUGUUCCAGUGGAAAGUAGGAUGGGUUAGUUGAACUACUGCUGAUGUUCUCGGGUUGGACAUGAGUUACCUGCUGGUGUUUCUGGCCAAGGCCCCCCAGUUUAGAGGCUGAACUUACACUGCAAGGUGUGAGAGAUAGUUGGGAUCAAUUUGGAACUCACCCUUAGGAGGAAAAUGUGCUUUGGAAUAACUUUUUUUUUUUUUUUAAUGUAAUUCAAAGGAUAAAAAGUUGAAGGAGAAGAAAUGCCAAAGAGCAGCACAGUGGCUGUCAUCCCUUGGGUGCUGAUUCCAGGGGAAGGGAAUGUGUGAAGGGAUGACAUGGGGCUCAUCUCCCAGGGCAGCAGAGCCCUCGUUGCUGACGUUUCUUUUCCUGAUGGAUAAAAGCACAGGCAGCGUUCAGGAAAUCCAUCACGCCAGAUUCUGUUUUUCCUGAGGUUCUUUAAAAGCAUUUUAUUUUCUCUCUCUGUUUCCAGUUCCCUGCUCUUACCAAUGCUGUGCAUGAAGGGCCAGGGCUGUUUUAAUAGAAAUAACAUUUAUAUUGCAGUUAAAUUGUUGAUUUUUCUCUCUGGAUGAUUAGAGAAGGAAAAAGAGUGCAGUGCUUUGUUUGCUAAAAGCCAGGAAAGAGUAUCCCCUGGCAGAAGGGUCAUGCAGUGGAAUUGUCAAUACACUUCCAUUUUUCAGGAUACAGAUUUCAGACAAGAGCAUUGUAGAUGUUUAUUGGCAGAAAUGCAUUUAAUUACAGUUGCUUUUGAUGCCAUAAAUUUGACCAUUUUAUUUAUUCAUCAGUGAAAUGCCUAUGAAUAGAGCCACCCUUUAAAGGAAUCCAUAUCAGUGCACUCUGCCCAUAUCAUGAAUUGGUGAGUCCUUUACUAAUAAACUUCUUGCUGUAAUAAGAAAGAUCUAUAUUACAGUUAAAAAGAAAAAAAAAGUAUGUGCCUUUCUCAUUAGCUAAAAGAUCUCUGCAUUAUUUUUAUGUAACUUGUUGAUAUGGGAUUGGUGUAGAGCAGGGGGACCAUGAACACCACAGAAUUCUAUGCAAUAUUUUCCAAUCCAAUUACUUAAAAGUCCCUAUUUUGCAAUCCUUUAACAGCAAAAAUAGUAAGUUAGAGAAGUGCAUCAUGCUGGUGGUAAUUCAAACUGCAAAGGCUGAUAAAUUGACAUAAAAUAGAAUUGAGGGAAAUGUGACAAAUUAAUGUGAUGAAAUAAUGGAAAAUGCUAACAGUGGUUGCAGUCCCUACAAGCACAACUGCUGUCAGAAGUCUGUAAUCUUCCAUUUUAAAAUUAAUAAUUUCCAGUAUUUUUAAAGCUUUUAUGAAUAAGAAUGCUCCUGGCAAAAACAAGGCAGGUUAGAAACAAGGGGGAAAAAUCACAUUUUGAAAUUAUGAGAAUACACAAAAAAAAGUAAUUGGGUUUGGACACUUUGCACUUGCAUCCAAAAUGUUUUAUUUCAGUUGAAAUGCCACAGUAAUCUGUGCCUUCAGCAGGGCUGAGAGAGAUCAGUAGCUUGGCAGUUUGCUGCAGACUGAAAGUGGAGUGUUGACAUUUUUACCUGCACAUGGAGGGCACUAUUUUUGCUCCGUUUGUGUCUCUUCCUACAAAGGAGUUCCUGAAAUUCUCUGAUUUCCUCUUCACCCCUGGAUGUUCUCUGUCUUCAGCCUUGAGUGUGGCUGAGCUCCUCUUGGAGACUCAGGAACAAGAGAAGGAGAGUUGGUUCUUAGGUGGGGACUGGAUUGAACAUUCCCUAAAACCAAUUCAGGGCUUUCCUGUGAGUGUGUGGCAGUUCUGGCCCUGGUGUGACCAGCUGGUUGGAGCCUCUUAUCCCUGAAUUUAACUCACAUAAAACAUUGGACUGGGUUGAUUCCUGUGUUGUUCUGCCUUCCCCUUUCUGCUCUGUGAACAUCAUUGUCUUUGUGUUGCAUAUACAAUCAACUUUUCUGAGAAUUUAAAAAUUCUGUGCAAAGGAAAGACUUCCCCCUACCACAACCCCAGCAGUUUAAAGUCUGGUUUUAAAUUGCAAGGAGAAUCACUGGCAUGAGAAGUACAAGAUCUGAAUUUCUUUUCUGAUGUAACCUUUGUAGUUCAAAAGGGGUGUAGCAGUCCCUGUCUCCUUCACAUAUAUUUGAGCUCUAAAAUGUAGAAAUAUAAUUUCACCAACUUCUUCUUUCCUCCCCAUCUCUUUUAUAGGAUAUAUUGACUAUGCCAUAUAUAAAGUGUAGUUAAUAAUGGACUUUAUAGCAAGAAAAGCUCUUUAAACCAUGCCUAGGGACGGAUUUGUCCUACAUGACCAGGUCAUGGACUAUACCCUUCCCUAUUAAUAUGCAAGGAUAAAAUGGUUUUAUGCUCUGAACGUGAAAUUUAUCCUUUUGGAGAAGAUUAGCGUUAGGCCUGUGCACUUAAGUUUUCAGAAAGCCUUAAAAACAGGUGUGUAAGUGGUGCCAUCUCUGUCCUCAGGGAUGAUUUCCCCCCAGCCAAGUGGUACUGUGGCAUAUUUAAUAGCAGUUAUUAGUUAUAAGGUCAUUUUCCAGUUGAAGAAAGUCAUUCAUUGAACUUUAUUAGUGAGUCCCUGGCCAGCAUCCUCUGGUACAAUCCAGCACCUGCUUUUCCCAAACCUGGGCAUCCAUAUCCAUCCCAAAAUCUUUGUUUCUCUGUGAAAUCUGUGUUUCUACAACUCUUGUGAAUGGAAAAAACCCUAAUGGGAUUCCUGAACUUCGUUUUCAUUGCUAUUCACAAACAUCUUCUGGCACUAAGUGCAUUAAAAGGAAAAGCCUCCUUUUAAAAAAACUAAGAUUAUUGUAUUUUGUCCUUGUCCAGCUCUUCUAUAAAGGUCAGUUCUGCCAGUUUCAAGCUUGCUUUACUCACAGUGGUGUUGGGAGAUUUUAGCCACAGUUCUGUAGAUUUCCUAUUAUUAAAUCUGUUGGUUUGAUCACAUCAGUUCAGUUCCUUUGGACUUUGAACCAGCUGAGUGCAGAGAGAGCAGCUGAAUCCUUUACCAUAACAAAACAGCAAAGUGCAUACCCCUGUGAUGCCUUUGGCCUUCUGUUUGAAUUCCAGAGAUAUUUGUAAUACAUGGUACAGUCUUCAUCCAAAGUUCUUUGGAAAUGGAAGAAUUUCCUGCUGUUGUGGUGCCACACCUGAUUUUUGCACAGUUCCUGUGUAAUUCCUGGCAGUGUCACAACAGCACAGCCUCUCUCUUAGCAGCAAGCAGAAUAGUUGUGUUCUCUUCUGUCUGUGAGGAUAAUUAUUAUGCAUUUUUGGGAGUUGUGAAAUGUGUCUCUGUGCAUCAUUCCAGGGUGGAAAAGCCCCUCUGUGUAUUUAGCAUUUGUGUGCUUGGUCUUAAUGGAGCAGCAGAAUCGCUGCAGCCAAAUUUGUGAAAUCGUUUGGGAUGUAGGUGAGCAAAGGCUUAAAACCAAGAUGUAUUUUAAUGGGCAGAGGAUGCCAUUCCCCCCUUGUCAGAUCCAUUCCCUGCUGUAAAGAGGGGAUUAGCCACUGGAGAGACCAGGCUGCUGGAGAUGCAUGGGUUUAGCUAAUGAGGACAGGGGAGAUCAUGCUCAGAAUACAUAAAAAUGAUCCCAAGGGUCUGAGAUGUGCAAGAGCCAAGGAAUGGGAAAGGAGGGGUCAAACCUUGUCUGUAGGUUUGGCCUCCUGCAGGAAGUUCAUAUCCCAAAUACUUGCACAUGUGUAGUGCUCUCUCCUUUAUCAAUGUACAGUGGACAGUAAAGACAUUUUUAAAACAAUCACAAAACCAGCUGAUGAAAUAAAUUCAAGCCAAGUAUAGAAUUAAAGCAAGCAGCUCAGCCUUGCUCUCCCUUAGCUGAAAAUUCAAGUGUUUGUAGGAAUGAGGUAGAAAUUUUCUGUUAGGCAGCUCCUCUUGGAAGGUGAGUGUCUGUGCUUUCAAGAGAAUAAAUAAAACUUGGCACUUGACUUGCUCUGAAGUACAAUCUUGUCUCCAAGUAACUAGGAAAAAUAUUUUUGCAAUCAGUCUUUCAAUCAGACUUCCCUGGCUUUUAUUAGCUUGUGUUGGACCCUUUGUGCUGUUUUGAUGUGUUAUUUAUAUGUGGGUAAGUUAUUACUAGCUUUAAAAGUGUUUCCAAAGGACCUGGUUACCUCUGGACGCUGGCACAGGUGAUACAGGGAGUACUUGAGCAUCUGGUUUGGAAAGGAGGAGCGUGGGGAAUAGGCAAGGUCACAUCUGCAUUGUACUUUUCCCUUUCCUUGAUCAGGGCUUCCAUUUCCUUCUCACCUUCUCUAGAGAGAUGGAGUUCAUGGGUCAUUCCUUUUUUUUUUUCUGUGGGAGAAAGAUUUUAGUCGAGCUUGAAAUGAUUUUAUUUUCACUCCUAGGCAUAUCAUCAAAAAUCCUGUGUGUUGCCACAUUUCCCAUUAAGUCUUUAGGAUUUGCUUCCUGGAAUUGACUCUUUCACUUUCUCUACUUGGAAAGCUAUGUGCCUUAUUUCCUAAUCUCUUCAUGGAGAAUAAUCUAAAGCACAGUGAUCUGGCUUGCAGCAUUCCCAGACUCUUUUCAUUUAUUUUUGGGGGGAGCAAACACUGAUGGAGCAUCCCAGUGUCCCAGCACUGGCAGGUGCUUGGCCCCAGGCACAUCCAGCACUGUGUGUGAGGAGUCUUUGUGCAAUAGAAACUCUGGGGCUGUGCCUGGGGGGUUCCUGUCCCACAGCCAGUGAGGGUGAGCUCUCCUUCAGGGCCAUUCACACUCCUGGGGGGAAAGAAAAUCCCUGUGGGUUCCUUCCAGCAGCUCCUGGGACAGGACUGAGCCGUCAGCCGGCAGUUGAUGCUCACAGAGCUCUCACAGGUGUGUGAGUGUCCAAGAAACCCCUGUGGCAGCUCUUCUGUGCCAUCAGUCACAGCUGCUGUCCCCACUGCCCCUCCAGGGCCCUGCUGGCUCUAGGCUGAGGCUGUGCAGCCAUUCCAGCUGGGGUUUGUUUGGGGUUGUGCACAGCAGGCACCCCCAGCCCUCCAUCCCUCCCUCCCUCCCCGAGCUCGCUCUCUCUGCAGCAUCAGAAGGUGAAAUACACAGAGGUGCUUUGGGAUUAGGACAACAAUCCAAGAUUUCCUAUUGAUGAGAUUCAUUUGUAACAGUUUCUUUUUUGAGGUUUGGUUUUUUGUUGGGUAGAACAACAACAGGAGUAUUUACAUAUCAUUGGUUUGGGUUGGAAGGGAACUUAAAGCUCAUCCUGUUCCAACCCCCUGCCAUGGGCAGGGAUUCCCCACUAAACCAGGUUGCUGUCCCCUAAAUGGAUGUUGGAGAAAGCUUGGGAUUUCCUAGAGAUGGAGCAGGUGGUGUUGGCUCAUAGUAUCCAUAUCAUUGUGCCCCAGUUGUGUUUUCUAGAGCAAUCUUUUUUCUUUUUUCUUUUUUUUUAAGAAAAAAAAAAGUAUUUUAUCUAAAUGCCUAAUAAAUAAUAUUAUUUAAAUAGUUUUUUAAAAUAAUUUAGGACUGAGAAUAAGAAGCCUCAGUUGUGAGAGAAGAGACUUAAAAUAUACAGAGAGAGAAAAUACCCUGAGCCUCCUAGAGCCUCUACUGAGAAUUUGCUAAAGACACAGAGCCCCUGGUCAGAGCACAUUGCAAUUCACUCACAAGUGUUCAUUUAAAAUGAGAGACUGGUUUCCUGUGAUGUUCAUCUUUGUUGGCAUAUGUUUGACUUUCUGAAUUCAGAGCUGAUUUCCUUCUCAUUCAAAAGCUGGUCAAGGAAAAAAAAAUAUUAAAAAAAAAAAGGCAAACUUGUGCAGCAGCAACUUUUGCUGGUGUGAGCUCUGGAAAUCCACCUUGUGCUUUAUGUGUGGCACACAGGGGUGGCUCAGUUGUGCUGCUGUGUCCAGACAGGCUUUUCCCUGGCCAGGUGGCCCUGGGGAGCAGCAGAGCAGCCCCAGAUCCAGGCAGGAGAAGGAUGGGCAGGCUCCAGCUGUGCCAUUCCCAUGGCAUGGGCAGGAGAAGGAUGGGCAGGCUCCAGCUGUGCCAUUCCCCUGGCAUGGGCAGGAGAAGGAUGGGCAGGCUCCAGCUGUGCCAUUAUCCCAUGGCAUGGGCAGGAGAAGGAUGGGCAGGCUCCAGCUGUGCCAUUCCCCCCUGGCAUGGGCAGACAGAAGGAUGGGCAGGCUCCAGCUGUGCCAGUCCCCUGGCAUGGGCAGAGGGAAGGAUGGGCAGGCUCCAGCUGUGCCAUUCCCCCCUGGCAUGGGCAGAGGGAAGGAUGGGCAGGCUCCAGCUGUGCCAGUCCCCCUGGCAUGGGCAGAGGGAAGGAUGGGCAGGCUCCAGCUGUGCCAUUAUCCCAUGGCAUGGGCAGGAGAAGGAUGGGCAGGCUCCAGCUGUGCCAAUCCCCCCUGGCAUGGGCAGACAGAAGGAUGGGCAGGCUCCAGCUGUGCCAUUCCCAUGGCAUGGGCAGAGGGAAGGAUGGGCAGGCUCCAGCUGUGCCAAUCCCAUGGCAUGGGCAGAGGGAAGGAUGGGCAGGCUCCAGCUGUGCCAUUCCCCUGGCAUGGGCAGAGGGAAGGUGCUGGGCCAGCUGCAGGGCACUUCUGUGGCUUGGGAAGCAAAUUUGCACUUUGCCUUUCGAGGGUGUCCCACUUAAAGAUAAAAAAACCAUCCGGCGAAUUUCCCACAUCAGGUUCUUUUUCCUUCUGGUGUAGUCCAAAAAGAAACUGAAAAUGAGAGUAAAGAAAGCCCUAGUGUAAUGUUGGAUCAGCUCUGCCAAACAAAAGGUUGUUCCUCUUGGAAUACUCUAUGCAUUUCUGUGGUGAAAAGCAUUUUCUCCCAUUCCUUGCUGGAAAUGCUGUGAGAAUGUCACACAUACAAAUUUGGACAUUGAUCCCAAAGCAGAUGGAGGCUGGGGAGGGGGGAUGUUCUUUUUUUUUUCUUUUUUUUUUUUUUCUUUUUUUUGUUUUUUAAUUGUUUCCCUCAUGUCCCUUUUCAUUUUUAUUUUGUUUUUAAUUAAAAAAUUAACUCUUUGCAUUUGUGCAAUAACUACUUGCCAUGAGAAUGGGCAGACCUUGGAAAUGCCCCGACUACUAACACAGCACAAGAUGAACUCGAACAGAAAGUGGUGUACUUUUUCCUGAGAACUUUUUUUUUUUUUUUUUUUAAUAAUAAGCUCAGUUUUUACCCCAGUGUAUUGUGGUGUCUUACAUUUUUAGCAGUAUUUUAUAUUUUUUCUGUAACGCACUAAGUCUUAGAUGUUUUUAGAGCUUGUUUGUUAUAUUCACAAUCACGGAUUUUAAAAAAGAAAAAAGAAAAAAAAAAAAAAAGAUCCUCACAAAGACCCAAUUGACCAAAAAAAAGAAAAAAAGUGUCAUUUUUUUUGUACAAGUAGCUUUGAGAAGCCCACAUUGUGUUGCUGUGACUCAUCUUUUGUAACAUUUUAUUUCUUGGUAUUUGUUUAAACAUAAAAAAGUAAGAGUUUAUCUGGCUGGCAGUGCAGGGCAGCGCUCCCUCGUCAGCAGAGGCAUUGUUUCUGUCUUUGUUUGGUUUAGCCAUAAAAUGUUUGUUCUCAGCACUGUACAACGGUCCCUAUAUGAUAUGGAGAAGCAAUAUCACUGUAUGAAACUCACACGAUGUAUUAUUAUUAUUAUUCACUAGCACCCUAGGUGUGAUAAUUGAAGUAAAUAUCUUUUAUACAAACACAA
This is a long non-coding RNA of Melospiza melodia melodia, 9172 nucleotides long. RefSeq lists it as uncharacterized. The transcript is spliced from 2 exons. Lineage: Eukaryota; Metazoa; Chordata; Aves; Passeriformes; Passerellidae. The record is from RefSeq and is a predicted model, not a curated record.